RNAcentral lists this microRNA precursor (72 nucleotides) under Echinops telfairi (small Madagascar hedgehog). RNAcentral describes it as "miRNA (ENSETEG00000023743.1)". Lineage: Eukaryota; Metazoa; Chordata; Mammalia; Afrosoricida; Tenrecidae. The record is from RNAcentral.
GUGUUUCUAUGGAUGUGUAUGCACAUGUACAUAUGCAUAUAUGUGUCCUACAUGCACACAGACACAUAUAAG